ACGUCAGCAACCUGCACACAUACGACGCCGCGUGGAGGAUGAAGGCCUUCGGGUUGUAAACUCCUUUUCUUAGGGAAAAUGAUGAUGGUACCUAAGGAAUAAGCCACGGCUAACUCUGUGCCAGCAGCCGCGGUAAUUAA
This 140-nucleotide ribosomal RNA is filed under the name uncultured bacterium. Its description in RNAcentral is "partial 16S ribosomal RNA". It matches the Rfam family "Bacterial small subunit ribosomal RNA", at positions 370 to 527 of the family's 1533-position model. The record is from RNAcentral.